RNAcentral lists this ribosomal RNA (387 nucleotides) under uncultured bacterium. RNAcentral's name for it is "bacterial SSU rRNA". It matches the Rfam family "Bacterial small subunit ribosomal RNA", at positions 30 to 416 of the family's 1533-position model. The record is from RNAcentral.
AUUGAACGCUGGCGGCAUGCUUUACACAUGCAAGUCGAACGGGGUGAGGGGGCAACUCCUCAUUCAGUGGCGAACGGGUGAGUAAUGCAUCGGAACGUGUCCCGUAGUGGGGGAUAACUCGGCGAAAGCCGAGCUAAUACCGCAUAUGCUCUACGGAGGAAAGUGGGGGACCUGAAAGGGCCUCACGCUAUGGGAGCGGCCGAUGUCCGAUUAGCUUGUUGGUGGGGUAAUGGCCUACCAAGGCUUCGAUCGGUAGCUGGUCUGAGAGGAUGAUCAGCCACACUGGGACUGAGACACGGCCCAGACUCCGUACGGGAGGCAGCAGUGGGGAAUUUUGGACAAUGGGGGCAACCCUGAUCCAGCCAUGCCGCGUGCGGGAAGAAGGCC